GCCUACACAUGCAAGUCGAGCGGAAACGAGUUAACAGAGCCUUCGGGUGACGUUAACGGCGUCGAGCGGCGGACGGGUGAGUAAUGCUUAGGAAUUUGCCCAGUCGAGGGGGAUAACUAUUGGAAACGAUAGCUAAUACCGCAUACGCCCUUUGGGGGAAAGGAGGGGAUCUUCGGACCUUUCGCGAUUGGAUAAGCCUAAGUGAGAUUAGCUAGUUGGUGAGGUAAGAGCUCACCAAGGCGACGAUCUCUAGCUGGUCUGAGAGGAUGAUCAGCCACACUGGAACUGAGACACGGUCCAGACUCCUACGGGAGGCAGCAGUGGGGAAUAUUGCACAAUGGGUGCAAGCC
RNAcentral lists this ribosomal RNA (350 nucleotides) under Vibrionaceae bacterium enrichment culture clone MS_H2_O6. RNAcentral's name for it is "bacterial SSU rRNA". It matches the Rfam family "Bacterial small subunit ribosomal RNA", at positions 46 to 383 of the family's 1533-position model. The record is from RNAcentral. Lineage: Bacteria; Pseudomonadati; Pseudomonadota; Gammaproteobacteria; Vibrionales; Vibrionaceae.